CGAGUGGCGAACGGGUGAGUAACGCGUGAGGAACCUGCCUCAAAGAGGGGGACAACAGUUGGAAACGACUGCUAAUACCGCAUAAGCCCACGGGUCGGCAUCGACCAGAGGGAAAAGGAGCAAUCCGCUUUGAGAUGGCCUCGCGUCCGAUUAGCUAGUUGGUGAGGUAAUGGCCCACCAAGGCAACGAUCGGUAGCCGGACUGAGAGGUUGAACGGCCACAUUGGGACUGAGACACGGCCCAGACUCCUACGGGAGGCAAGCAUG
RNAcentral lists this ribosomal RNA (266 nucleotides) under uncultured bacterium. Its description in RNAcentral is "partial 16S ribosomal RNA". It matches the Rfam family "Bacterial small subunit ribosomal RNA", at positions 92 to 350 of the family's 1533-position model. The record is from RNAcentral.